GGAAUAUUGGUCAAUGGACGAAAGUCUGAACCAGCCAAGUAGCGUGCAGGAUGACGGCCCUAUGGGUUGUAAACUGCUUUUAUAUAGGGAUAAAGUCGGGGACGUGUCCCCGUUUGUAGGUACUAUAUGAAUAAGGACCGGCUAAUUCCGUGCCAGCAGCCGCGGUAAUACGGAAGGUCCAGGCGUUAUCCGGAUUUAUUGGGUUUAAAGGGAGCGCAGGCUGAUGAUUAAGCGUGACGUGAAAUGUAGCCGCUCAACGGCUGAACUGCGUCGCGAACUGGUUAUCUUGAGUGAGUUCGAUGUUGGCGGAAUUCGUGGUGUAGCGGUGAAAUGCUUAGAUAUCACGAAGAACUCCGAUUGCGAAGGCAGCCAACAAGGCCUUUACUGACGCUAAAGCUCGAAGGUGCGGGUAUCGAACA
This 419-nucleotide ribosomal RNA is filed under the name uncultured Prevotella sp. RNAcentral's name for it is "bacterial SSU rRNA". It matches the Rfam family "Bacterial small subunit ribosomal RNA", at positions 358 to 774 of the family's 1533-position model. The record is from RNAcentral. Lineage: Bacteria; Pseudomonadati; Bacteroidota; Bacteroidia; Bacteroidales; Prevotellaceae.